RNAcentral lists this ribosomal RNA (292 nucleotides) under uncultured eukaryote. RNAcentral describes it as "partial 18S ribosomal RNA". It matches the Rfam family "Eukaryotic small subunit ribosomal RNA", at positions 6 to 300 of the family's 1831-position model. The record is from RNAcentral.
GGUUGAUCCUGCCAGUAGUACUCGCUUGUUUCAACGACUAAGCCAUGCAUGUCUAAGUAUAAGCACUUGUACUGUGAAACUGCGAAUGGCUCAUUAUAUCAGUUAUAAUUUAUUUGAUAGUCAUUACUACUUGGAUAACCGUGGUAAUUCUAGAGCUAAUACAUGCAUCAAGGCCUGACUGCUUGCGGAAAGGCUGUAUUUAUUAGAUAAAAAACCAAUGCCCAGCAAUGGGCCAUGGUGAUUCAUGAUAACUGCACGGAUCGUAUGACCUCGCGUCGACGACGUAUCAUUC